GCUCUUUCUUUUUUUCUAUAAAUUUUUUAAUUGUGUUGACAGGGUGACAAUAAGGUGUCUGCCAAAGGUGGAGACAGCUCUGUUAAACAGGAUACAGCUAGUUCUCAUGGUGGAACUCAACCCGGUCCAAUAUCCCAAGGGAUGGGUCACCAAGGAACUUUUACUCAAGGCAUGAGCUAUUUGCAACCUCAGUGAAUGGCUCAGGAUCCUAUAAUAUCUUGAAGUCUGACUUGCAGGUCUACAAGCUAUUCGGGAAAGAGUUAGUGACAUUCCUUAAGCAUCCUCUUAUGGUGUUUCGGUGUAAAUUAGUCUGAAAUUAAAACUAUUUGUCAUCAUAGGCUGUGUAUGUACCAUAUUCAUCUUUGUUUUAUUCCCUGGUUUUAAGUUUGACUACUCUACCUGUUUCUCUUCGAUGGGCACAUUCUUAAGUAAACGACCUUUUAGUGUUUGUGAGAUAUGUUCUGUAGCUUUUGCUGA
This is a long non-coding RNA of Musa acuminata AAA Group (dessert banana), 477 nucleotides long. RefSeq lists it as uncharacterized. The transcript has 3 exons. Lineage: Eukaryota; Viridiplantae; Streptophyta; Magnoliopsida; Zingiberales; Musaceae. The record is from RefSeq and is a predicted model, not a curated record.